UGCUACAGGCUUAACACAUGCAAGUCGAGGGGCAGCAUUUCAGUUUGCUUGCAAACUGGAGAUGGCGACCGGCGCACGGGUGAGUAACACGUAUCCAACCUGCCGAUAACUCGGGGAUAGCCUUUCGAAAGAAAGAUUAAUACCCGAUGGUAUAAUCAGACCGCAUGGUCUUGUUAUUAAAGAAUUUCGGUUAUCGAUGGGGAUGCGUUCCAUUAGGCAGUUGGUGAGGUAACGGCUCACCAAACCUUCGAUGGAUAGGGGUUCUGAGAGGAAGGUCCCCCACAUUGGAACUGAGACACGGUCCAAACUCCUACGGGAGGCAGCAGUGAGGAAUAUUGGUCAAUGGGCGCAGGCCUGAACCAGCCAAGUAGCGUGAAGGAUGACUGCCCUAUGGGUUGUAAACUUCUUUUAUAUGGGAAUAAAGUUUUCCACGUGUGGAAUUUUGUAUGUACCAUAUGAAUAAGGAUCGGCUAACUCCGUGCCAGCAGCCGCGGUAAUACGGAGGAUCCGAGCGUUAUCCGGAUUUAUUGGGUUUAAAGGGAGCGUAGGUGGACAGUUAAGUCAGUUGUGAAAGUUUGCGGCUCAACCGUAAAAUUGCAGUUGAUACUGGCUGUCUUGAGUACAGUAGAGGUGGGCGGAAUUCGUGGUGUAGCGGUGAAAUGCUUAGAUAUCACGAAGAACUCCGAUUGCGAAGGCAGCUCGCUGGACUGCAACUGACACUGAUGCUCGAAAGUGUGGGUAUCAAACAGGAUUAGAUACCCUGGUAGUCCACACAGUAAACGAUGAAUACUCGCUGUUUGCGAUAUACAGUAAGCGGCCAAGCGAAAGCAUUAAGUAUUCCACCUGGGGAGUACGCCGGCAACGGUGAAACUCAAAGGAAUUGACGGGGGCCCGCACAAGCGGAGGAACAUGUGGUUUAAUUCGAUGAUACGCGAGGAACCUUACCCGGGCUUAAAUUGCAUUUGAAUAUAUUGGAAACAGUAUAGCCGUAAGGCAAAUGUGAAGGUGCUGCAUGGUUGUCGUCAGCUCGUGCCGUGAGGUGUCGGCUUAAGUGCCAUAACGAGCGCAACCCUUAUCUUUAGUUACUAACAGGUCAUGCUGAGGACUCUAGAGAGACUGCCGUCGUAAGAUGUGAGGAAGGUGGGGAUGACGUCAAAUCAGCACGGCCCUUACGUCCGGGGCUACACACGUGUUACAAUGGGGGGUACAGAAGGCAGCUACCUGGUGACAGGAUGCUAAUCCCAAAAGCCUCUCUCAGUUCGGAUCGAAGUCUGCAACCCGACUUCGUGAAGCUGGAUUCGCUAGUAAUCGCGCAUCAGCCAUGGCGCGGUGAAUACGUUCCCGGGCCUUGUACACACCGCCCGUCAAGCCAUGAAAGCCGGGGGUACCUGAAGUACGUAACAGCAAGGAGCGUCCUAGGGUAAAACUGGUAAUUG
This 1436-nucleotide ribosomal RNA is filed under the name uncultured organism. RNAcentral describes it as "SSU rRNA". It matches the Rfam family "Bacterial small subunit ribosomal RNA". The record is from RNAcentral.